This 271-nucleotide unclassified non-coding RNA is filed under the name Borreliella garinii. The record is from RNAcentral. Lineage: Bacteria; Pseudomonadati; Spirochaetota; Spirochaetia; Spirochaetales; Borreliaceae.
CUGCGAGUUCGCGGGAGAGUAAGUUAUUGCCAGGGUUUUUAUUUUAUACUUUAAACAUUGAUUUUAUUUUUUAUGUUUUUAGAUUUUCAUGUUUUUAGAUUUUCAUGUUUUUUAAUGUUUUAUUUAAAUAAUAUAAAAAAUAAAAUAUAUAUAUUGACAUGGAUUAAACAAAGAUAUAUAUUAUUCUAUGUUGCAUAAACAAAUUGGCAAAAUAGAGAUGGAAGAUAAAAAUAUGGUCAAAGUAAUAAGAGUCUAUGGUGAAUGCCUAGGA